Long non-coding RNA from Triplophysa rosa, 908 nucleotides. RefSeq lists it as uncharacterized. NCBI's taxonomy places the organism in Eukaryota, Metazoa, Chordata, Actinopteri, Cypriniformes, Nemacheilidae. The record is from RefSeq and is a predicted model, not a curated record. The transcript is spliced from 3 exons.
GAUCUGAUGUCAUAAAUCAGAACAAUAAGAGCAGCUACAGCAGCCACGCCCACCAGAGCAGAGACGGCCAAUCGCAUGACACCCUCGGUAGUAUCACAACAGUUGACACAGUCUGAGGACAGAAGAAACGAAAUGAAAUAGAUCGGCUGCAUGAAUCAACACAAACAUCACCUGACGUGACUCACCUGAACACUUGUGACAGACAUGAGCGAUGUCGAGAUGUUGAGUCUGGUUUCCGAACGGAUGGCUGAUCACACAUCUGAGAAAGUCGCACGUGGGACAUUCAACACUGAACACAACAACACACAUUUUGAGACUGAAGAUCCUUCUGACGCUGGAGGAUUCUGCGGACAGUAACUGACGAUGACAGGAACAGGAAGACGAGCUAGAAAACACGAGCAAAGAACAAAGAUCAAGAAAUCAGAAAUGUAAACCUCAUUGUAAAGUGUCGCCCGUCAUUUGUGCGCGUGUGUGUAAAAAGCGGUUGUUAAACAAAUUUAAAGUAUAAAGAUGGCAUUGCAUUUCAAAAGUAAAUCUUUAUCACCAUAAACAUUAACAUAGAAUUUGUAUGAUGUCACUCUAAUGGCGUCGCUGAUCCGGGAGCUGCUGGUGGUGAUCAUCACAUAAAGUCCGGAGUGUUGAGUCGUGAUGUUUGUGAUGGUGAGAGAUCCGGUCUGAUUGUCCACCUGCAGUCUGUCUCUGAACAUCCCAUCAUGAACAUCAGCAGCUCUUCCGGAUCUGAUGUCAUAAAUCAGAACAAGAAGAGCAGAGACGACCAAUCGGAGCACAGCAUCAGUGGUGGGCCUAUCACAAUAGUUGAGCUGAAGAUGGACUGAAGAGAGAAAAACCAAGAUGAAACAGAGAUCGGCUGAACGAAUAAACACAAACAUCACGUGUGACUCACAUGA